CAGGAUGUUCUGCUCUGAUUGGCAGGGAGAGUUUGAAGGUGGGCUGGCAGAGACCGUGACCGCAACUGACUGCGUUCUGCAGAAUUAUGGUAAUGAAAUUGGAAUCCAACUUUCAUGAAGCAGAAAGCCUCAAG
Molecule: long non-coding RNA, 134 nt
Filed under: Pongo abelii (Sumatran orangutan)
Lineage: Eukaryota; Metazoa; Chordata; Mammalia; Primates; Hominidae
Description: lincRNA
Source: RNAcentral